GCUGGGGGCGGUGGUGCACGCCUGUAAUCCCAGCGGCUCAGGAGGCUGAGGCAGGAGGAUUAUCAGUUCAAAGCCAGCCUCAGCAAAAGCAAGGUGCUAAGCAACUCAAUGAGACCCUAUCUCUA
Molecule: small RNA, 125 nt
Filed under: Marmota monax (woodchuck)
Lineage: Eukaryota; Metazoa; Chordata; Mammalia; Rodentia; Sciuridae
Source: RNAcentral